CGAAUGCUGACAUAAGUAACGAUAAAGCGGGUGAAAAGCCCGCUCGCCGGAAGACCAAGGGUUCCUGUCCAACGUUAAUCGGGGCAGGGUGAGUCGACCCCUAAGGCGAGGCCGAAAGGCGUAGUCGAUGGGAAACAGGUUAAUAUUCCUGUACUUGGUGUUACUGCGAAGGGGGGACGGAGAAGGCUAUGUUGGCCGGGCGACGGUUGUCCCGGUUUAAGCGUGUAGGCUGGUUUUCCAGGCAAAUCCGGAAAAUCAAGGCUGAGGCGUGAUGACGAGGCACUACGGUGCUGAAGCAACAAAUGCCCUGCUUCCAGGAAAAGCCUCUAAGCAUCAGGUAACAUCAAAUCGUACCCCAAACCGACACAGGUGGUCAGGUAGAGAAUACCAAGGCGCUUGAGAGAACUCGGGUGAAGGAACUAGGCAAAAUGGUGCCGUAACUUCGGGAGAAGGCACGCUGAUAUGUAGGUGAAGCGACUUGCUCGUGGAGCUGAAAUCAGUCGAAGAUACCAGCUGGCUGCAACUGUUUAUUAAAAACACAGCACUGUGCAAACACGAAAGUGGACGUAUACGGUGUGACGCCUGCCCGGUGCCGGAAGGUUAAUUGAUGGGGUCAGCGCAAGCGAAGCUCUUGAUCGAAG
Molecule: ribosomal RNA, 641 nt
Filed under: Escherichia coli
Lineage: Bacteria; Pseudomonadati; Pseudomonadota; Gammaproteobacteria; Enterobacterales; Enterobacteriaceae
Description: partial 23S ribosomal RNA
Rfam family: Bacterial large subunit ribosomal RNA
Source: RNAcentral